RNAcentral lists this long non-coding RNA (624 nucleotides) under Rattus norvegicus (Norway rat). RNAcentral describes it as "long non-coding RNA NONRATT018296". Lineage: Eukaryota; Metazoa; Chordata; Mammalia; Rodentia; Muridae. The record is from RNAcentral.
UUGCAUGCCAGAUUCUUUUAUAAUAAAUUUCUACUUUACACACUUCUUUCAUAUGCAAUUACAUGCUACUUUGGAAUCAUUCAUUUCCUCCAGGCUUCCUCCAUAGAGUUUGAUCAGUCUUGGGUGCAGCCUAUAAGGAAUAACAUAGGCUUGAUUAUUUCAUUUUUCUGCCACGCAAUGUUUUACACACCUUACAAGUGUGGUACAUAAGUCACACAUACAGACGGACAUACACUCCUAGCAGAGCUACAAGUCAUCAAGGUGAAGGACAUAAAACACCAACAUCUGUGACCAUUCCAGAGCAUUCUUAACCACCUUUCCUGCAAGGUUAAUACCUCUAGUGCCUCUAUGAAGAGACAGUCAUUUAAGAACACCCCAUAAAAUCGAUUCUGUGAAACAGGAAAAAACAGAGGCUCCUGCCCAUCUCCCAGCAUGCUUCAGUCUGCUAAGACAUUAAGCUUGCUAAGAUUGCGUAUAUAAGUUUCUACAAUCGAUCACUCUUGUUAACAUAUAUGUAUGGUGUGUUGAAUGCUUUGUAAAGAUUUGACAAGAGAUUCCAUUACUUUAUAUAUUAACUUGAAUAAAAAGAGAACUUGAAUAAAAAUAGGACUUGAUAAAAACAAA